Molecule: ribosomal RNA, 481 nt
Filed under: uncultured bacterium
Lineage: Bacteria
Description: partial 16S ribosomal RNA
Rfam family: Bacterial small subunit ribosomal RNA
Source: RNAcentral
AUUGAACGCUGGCGGCAUGCUUUACACAUGCAAGUCGAACGGUAACAGGCCGCUAGGUGCUGACGAGUGGCGCACGGGUGAGUAAUGCAUCUGAACGUGCCCAGUCGUGGGGGAUAACUCCUCGAAAGAGUAGCUAAUACCGCAUACGAUCCAUGGAUGAAAGCGGGGGACCGUAAGGCCUCGCGCGAUUGGAGCGGCCAGUGUCAGAGUAUGUAGAUGGUGGGGUAAAGGCUCACCAAGCCAACGAUCUGUAGCUGGUCUGAGAGGACAACCAGCCACACUGGGACUGAGACACGGCCCAGACUCCUACGGGAGGCAGCAGUGGGGAAUUUUGGACAAUGGGCGCAAGCCUGAUCCAGCAAUGCCGCGUGCAGGAAGAAGGCCUUCGGGUUGUAAACUGCUUUUGUACGGAACGAAACGGCUCUGGUUAAUACCCGGGGCUAAUGACGGUACCGUAAGAAUAAGCACCGGCUAACUACGU